This is a long non-coding RNA of Saccostrea cuccullata (small rock oyster), 272 nucleotides long. RefSeq lists it as uncharacterized. The record is from RefSeq and is a predicted model, not a curated record. Lineage: Eukaryota; Metazoa; Mollusca; Bivalvia; Ostreida; Ostreidae. The transcript has 3 exons.
UGAAUACAACCUGGAAAAGCAAACCUGUCAAUUAAGUGACGUCAAUAGAUGGACAGAGAGUCAUUAUUUCUUACAAGAUAUACCCGGCUGGGACUACUACCACAGAAAAUGUUACUUUGGCAUCGACGAUUAUCCAUUUACAACCACACCAACAAUUGAGGACUACACAACAGAGAGUACGAAACAGGAAACACUAUCUAGCACACAGCCCCCUACUACAGAGGAACCGUUUGAGGUGUUAAAACGAGAAUUGGAAGAGAUUGGGGAGAAGA